GGCUCGUUGGUCUAGGGGUAUGAGUCUCGCUCAGGCUGGGAGUGGUCCCGGGUUCAACUCCCCGACAGAGCCC
Gymnothorax javanicus (giant moray) is the source of this 73-nucleotide non-coding RNA. NCBI's taxonomy places the organism in Eukaryota, Metazoa, Chordata, Actinopteri, Anguilliformes, Muraenidae. The record is from the annotation of a GenBank genome assembly.